UAACAGACUACAAGUAUAUACACAGACUGAUCUUACAAUCUCUGAAAUCAGUGUUACAUAUUGAAAAAUGAUCAAUAAAUUACAGUGUCGCUCUAUUUAGAGUCCAUAGAGCUUAUUAACUACUGUAAACUAUCUAACAACAUGUAAGCUAGCCAACUGACUUACAGUUACUAACCAUACUAACUAACUAUAGUGUAUACUUCACACACAAUCCAAUAAGAGGUGGUUGCAGCAGCCUUUUCGGAGUUUAUUACUUACAAGGAAUGUAUCGAAUCAAAUAUUAAUGCUCAAAGAUACAACAAUGUAAAGCCUUACGCUUUACAGAUCCAAUAUAGUAUACCAUGCUGCAGAAGAUUUUGCUAUGUUCAGGUAUGCCAACCCCACUCGGAUUGCAAACGCCGUGACAGCAUUUUGAUCUUAUGAAAAUUUGGAAUCCUUAAGCCUAAUUGGGGGUCUAUUGGUAGCAACCGCCUCUUGUCCGGUCGCUGGUUUCCAACGCUGAUUAUCAAGAUUUAGCAGAAAAAUAAUAAUUACAGUGCUAUACACAAAUCAUCUAACUAUCACUUUCAAAUCCUCCAAUUGAAUCCUUAAUUAGAACUAUAAGAAAUGUUAUUGGUGGUCCUCCCAUUCUGUUUAUCUUUAUAAUAUAUUUCACUAAAAACCCCCAUUUAGAGGUGGAAUUGAAGCAACAAGGUGCACAGAGCAAAUCAGAUUGGGACCUGAAGCAAGAGAGUGGUAUCAAUAAUUCGUCAUGCCUAAAAUGGACU
This 767-nucleotide long non-coding RNA is filed under the name Trifolium pratense (red clover). Its description in RNAcentral is "long non-coding RNA (TPRA_LNC009098)". Lineage: Eukaryota; Viridiplantae; Streptophyta; Magnoliopsida; Fabales; Fabaceae. The record is from RNAcentral.